AUUUUUAAUCAUUGAGGCCAAGCCUUAGUUGUAGUCGUGGCCAAUUCAUGACAUUUAGGUACACAAUUAAAUGCCAGUCCAAUCUAAUACACCAUAACUAAUGUCAUGACAUGCAUAAUCUUCAUGAUAUUAGUGACCAGCUCUUAUUAUGUGUAUUCAACAGAGCUUAGUGUAAAUUAACAGCAUAACCAAAAAUAAGUAACAGAACUCACUUGUUG
RNAcentral lists this unclassified non-coding RNA (218 nucleotides) under Hevea brasiliensis (rubber tree). Lineage: Eukaryota; Viridiplantae; Streptophyta; Magnoliopsida; Malpighiales; Euphorbiaceae. The record is from RNAcentral.